CCUACGGGGGGCUGCAGUGGGGAAUAUUGGACAAUGGGGGGAACCCUGAUCCAGCCAUGCCGCGUGUGUGAAGAAGGCCCUCGGGUUGUAAAGCACUUUCAGUGAGGAAGAACGCCUGGUGGUUAAUACCCAUCAGGAAAGACAUCACUCACAGAAGAAGCACCGGCUAACUCCGUGCCAGCAGCCGCGGUAAUACGGAGGGUGCGAGCGUUAAUCGGAAUUACUGGGCGUAAAGCGCGCGUAGGUGGCUUGAUAAGCCGGUUGUGAAAGCCCCGGGCUCAACCUGGGAACGGCAUCCGGAACUGUCAAGCUAGAGUGCAGGAGAGGAAGGUAGAAUUCCCGGUGUAGCGGUGGAAUGCGUAGAGAUCGGGAGGAAUACCAGUGGCGAAGGCGGCCUUCUGGACUGACACUGACACUGAGGUGCGAAAGCGUGGGUAGCAAACAGGAUUAGAUACCCUUGUAGUC
Molecule: ribosomal RNA, 465 nt
Filed under: Vreelandella stevensii
Lineage: Bacteria; Pseudomonadati; Pseudomonadota; Gammaproteobacteria; Oceanospirillales; Halomonadaceae
Description: partial 16S ribosomal RNA
Rfam family: Bacterial small subunit ribosomal RNA
Source: RNAcentral